RNAcentral lists this long non-coding RNA (236 nucleotides) under Capsicum annuum. RNAcentral describes it as "long non-coding RNA (CANN_LNC015746)". Lineage: Eukaryota; Viridiplantae; Streptophyta; Magnoliopsida; Solanales; Solanaceae. The record is from RNAcentral.
AAAAUCUAAAAUCUGUCAGAAUGGUGAUUAAGUUAGAAUUUAAUAUUUUCUUUCGUGAACAAGUAUGGAUUUGUUUUGGACAAGGCAAAAUAUAAAACUUGUUGUUUUUAUGAUUGUUAUUUUUAUCUUGGAUGUUAUUCAAAAUUUCAACAAUAAUAAUAAUAGUUUUUCCUUAUUUACGUCAACUUCUAAUUGUGAGAAUGAUGUAAAUUUGUGACAUUCUAGGUUUGGCCAUA